Molecule: ribosomal RNA, 468 nt
Filed under: uncultured bacterium
Lineage: Bacteria
Description: partial 16S ribosomal RNA
Rfam family: Bacterial small subunit ribosomal RNA
Source: RNAcentral
GAUGAACGCUGGCGGCGUGCUUAACACAUGCAAGUCGAACGGAAAGACGCUGCACUUGUGUGUUGCUCGAUUGGCGAACGGGUGAGUAACACGUGAGUAACCUGCCCUUGAAUGUGGGAUAACAUCUGGAAACACGGGCUAUUACCGCGUAUAAUCUUCUGCUGCACAGUGUGGGUUGGAAAAUUUCGGCGUUUGGGGCUCGACUCGCGGCUUCUCAGCUUGUUUGUGGGGUAGUUGCUUUCCAAGGCUUUGACGGGUAGCCGGCCUGAGAGGGUGAACGGGCACCAUGCGCCUGCGGUAGGGAGCAGACGCCUACGGGAGGCAGCAGUGGGGAAUAUUGCACAAUGGGCGGAAGUGUGAUACAGAGACGCCGCGUGCGUAAUGACGGCUUACGGGUUGUAAACCGAUUUCGAAUGUGACGAAGCCUGAGUGACGGUAAUGGGUAAAGAAGCACCGGCUAACUACGUG